This 279-nucleotide ribosomal RNA is filed under the name uncultured bacterium. RNAcentral describes it as "partial 16S ribosomal RNA". It matches the Rfam family "Bacterial small subunit ribosomal RNA", at positions 506 to 784 of the family's 1533-position model. The record is from RNAcentral.
UGCCAGCCGCCGCGGUAAGACAGAGGGUGCAAACGUUGCUCGGAAUUACUGGGCGUAAAGCGCGUGUAGGCGGGCUGGAAAGUCAGAUGUGAAAUCCCUGGGCUCAACCCAGGAACUGCAUUUGAAACUUCCAGCCUUGAGUACUGGAGAGGAGAGAGGAAUUCCUGGUGUAGAGGUGAAAUUCGUAGAUAUCAGGAGGAACACCGAUGGCGAAGGCAGCUUUCUGGACCGAUACUGACGCUGAGGCGCGAAGGCGUGGGUAGCGAACGGGAUUAGAUA